This is a long non-coding RNA of Pseudophryne corroboree (corroboree frog), 299 nucleotides long. RefSeq lists it as uncharacterized. The transcript has 2 exons. Lineage: Eukaryota; Metazoa; Chordata; Amphibia; Anura; Myobatrachidae. The record is from RefSeq and is a predicted model, not a curated record.
UAAUAUUGUAAGGAAACAACAGAUGUUCCUUACAAGCUGUACUCAGUCUCACUAAUGCCGGGAGCUCAUAGUAUGUGACUGCAGUAAAAACAGUAUAAAUCAAAGGAUCUGCAUACCUUGCAACAUUGACAGCAAAAUGAUUAUCAUUUGAUUGUUAAAGAAUUACAAAUACACUUAUAUGGGAUCGGCUGUGCUACUACCCAAGACUUCUGGAAAUGCAAUUAUGUUCCUAUUGACUGUUGAGGCUGCGUUAAAAUGUUUGUAUUUAUGAAACCUUUAAAGUAAAUCUGUAAUGGGAA